This 1444-nucleotide ribosomal RNA is filed under the name uncultured organism. RNAcentral's name for it is "SSU rRNA". It matches the Rfam family "Bacterial small subunit ribosomal RNA". The record is from RNAcentral.
AACGCUAGCUACAGGCUUAACACAUGCAAGUCGAGGGGCAUCAGGAAGAAAGCUUGCUUUCUUUGCUGGCGACCGGCGCACGGGUGAGUAACACGUAUCCAACCUGCCCUUUACUCGGGGAUAGCCUUUCGAAAGAAAGAUUAAUACCCGAUAGCAUAAUGAUUCCGCAUGGUUUCAUUAUUAAAGGAUUCCGGUAAAGGAUGGGGAUGCGUUCCAUUAGGUUGUUGGUGAGGUAACGGCCCACCAAGCCUUCGAUGGAUAGGGGUUCUGAGAGGAAGGUCCCCCACAUUGGAACUGAGACACGGUCCAAACUCCUACGGGAGGCAGCAGUGAGGAAUAUUGGUCAAUGGGCGCUAGCCUGAACCAGCCAAGUAGCGUGAAGGAUGAAGGCUCUAUGGGUCGUAAACUUCUUUUAUAUAAGAAUAAAGUGCAGUAUGUAUACUGUUUUGUAUGUAUUAUAUGAAUAAGGAUCGGCUAACUCCGUGCCAGCAGCCGCGGUAAUACGGAGGAUCCGAGCGUUAUCCGGAUUUAUUGGGUUUAAAGGGAGCGUAGGUGGACUGGUAAGUCAGUUGUGAAAGUUUGCGGCUCAACCGUAAAAUUGCAGUUGAUACUGUCAGUCUUGAGUACAGUAGAGGUGGGCGGAAUUCGUGGUGUAGCGGUGAAAUGCUUAGAUAUCACGAAGAACUCCGAUUGCGAAGGCAGCUCACUGGACUGCAACUGACACUGAUGCUCGAAAGUGUGGGUAUCAAACAGGAUUAGAUACCCUGGUAGUCCACACAGUAAACGAUGAAUACUCGCUGUUUGCGAUAUACAGUAAGCGGCCAAGCGAAAGCAUUAAGUAUUCCACCUGGGGAGUACGCCGGCAACGGUGAAACUCAAAGGAAUUGACGGGGGCCCGCACAAGCGGAGGAACAUGUGGUUUAAUUCGAUGAUACGCGAGGAACCUUACCCGGGCUUAAAUUGCAGUGGAAUGAUGUGGAAACAUGUCAGUGAGCAAUCACCGCUGUGAAGGUGCUGCAUGGUUGUCGUCAGCUCGUGCCGUGAGGUGUCGGCUUAAGUGCCAUAACGAGCGCAACCCUUAUCUUUAGUUACUAACAGGUUAUGCUGAGGACUCUAGAGAGACUGCCGUCGUAAGAUGUGAGGAAGGUGGGGAUGACGUCAAAUCAGCACGGCCCUUACGUCCGGGGCUACACACGUGUUACAAUGGGGGGUACAGAAGGCAGCUAGCGGGUGACCGUAUGCUAAUCCCAAAAUCCUCUCUCAGUUCGGAUCGAAGUCUGCAACCCGACUUCGUGAAGCUGGAUUCGCUAGUAAUCGCGCAUCAGCCACGGCGCGGUGAAUACGUUCCCGGGCCUUGUACACACCGCCCGUCAAGCCAUGGGAGCCGGGGGUACCUGAAGUACGUAACCGCAAGGAUCGUCCUAGGGUAAAACUAGUGACUGGG